Molecule: ribosomal RNA, 497 nt
Filed under: uncultured bacterium
Lineage: Bacteria
Description: partial 16S ribosomal RNA
Rfam family: Bacterial small subunit ribosomal RNA
Source: RNAcentral
GAUGAACGCUGGCGGCGUGCCUAAUACAUGCAAGUCGAGCGAACGGACGAGAAGCUUGCUUCUCUGAUGUUAGCGGCGGACGGGUGAGUAACACGUGGAUAACCUACCUAUAAGACUGGGAUAACUUCGGGAAACCGGAGCUAAUACCGGAUAAUAUUUUGAACCGCAUGGUUCAAAAGUGAAAGACGGUCUUGCUGUCACUUAUAGAUGGAUCCGCGCUGCAUUAGCUAGUUGGUAAGGUAACGGCUUACCAAGGCAACGAUGCAUACACGACCUGAGAGGGUGAUCGGCCACACUGGAACUGAGACACGGUCCAGACUCCUACGGGAGGCAGCAGUAGGGAAUCUUCCGGAAUGGGCGAAAGCGUGACGGAGCAACGCCGCGUGAGUGAUGAAGGUCUUCGGAUCGUAAAACUCUGUUAUUAGGGAAGAACAUAUGUGUAAGUAACUGUGCACAUCUUGACGGUACCUAAUCAGAAAGCCACGGCUAACUACGUG